Long non-coding RNA from Oncorhynchus kisutch (coho salmon), 693 nucleotides. The record is from Ensembl. NCBI's taxonomy places the organism in Eukaryota, Metazoa, Chordata, Actinopteri, Salmoniformes, Salmonidae.
GGAGCCUUUGUCAUUGAACCUGCAGAGCAAGAAGCUGGCCUUGGACAUCCAGAGGGAACAUCCAGGGAACAACAACCUCCAUUUCUAAGAAAGGCUGCUACUGCAUGGCUUGUGUGGCCCACUCUGGGAUGGCUGCAGAUGAAAUAGCAGAGAAUAUUGAUUCAGCUGUCAGCACCAUCGUGACAAAACUACAGGUUAGAAAGGACCGUUGAUAAAGGUCAUCCACUUGAAAAGCCAAUCAGUGGCUCUGCCCAUCUACACCUCUAACCUGAGUAACCUGACCCUUAUAGAUGAAACACAGAAACAGACCCGCGCAGCCAUGGAUGCCAAGAAAAAUGCGCGGAAACAGAAGUCUGCAAAGAAAGAACAGAAGUCUACAGAAAAAAACUCUGGUGCUGACAGGGAGGAAGAGGUUCCCAUAGUAAUGCCAAGGAAAAAGGCUAGUGGAGAAGCCGACCAAGAAGGGACUUGUGAAGGUACCCAAACCAACAGGAGGAAAGGACUGGUUCUGAAUGUAUAUAAACUGUCAAUGUUAAUCGAGCCAAGGACAAACUCAAAUGUGUUGCAAAUCUUUGUCUGCCCCAUAAAAGGGUCUUGUUCAAAAUCAUAUUUUUUAUAAGCCCAACUUGUAAAUUAAAAUAUUACCACAAAGUAUAUUUCAUGUCUUUAAUUUGUUAUCCACAAUGACAUUGU